This 497-nucleotide ribosomal RNA is filed under the name uncultured bacterium. Its description in RNAcentral is "partial 16S ribosomal RNA". It matches the Rfam family "Bacterial small subunit ribosomal RNA", at positions 28 to 507 of the family's 1533-position model. The record is from RNAcentral.
GAUGAACGCUGGCGGCGUGCCUAAUACAUGCCAGUCGAGCGAACAGAUGAGGAGCUUGCUCCUCUGACGUUAGCGGCGGACGGGUGAGUAACACGUGGAUAACCUACCUAUAAGACUGGGAUAACUUCGGGAAACCGGAGCUAAUACCGGACAAUAUAUUGAACCGCAUGGUUCAAUAGUGAAAGACGGUUUUGCUGUCACUUAUAGAUGGAUCCGCGCCGCAUUAGCUAGUUGGUAAGGUAACGGCUUACCAAGGCAACGAUGCGUAGCCGACCUGAGAGGGUGAUCGGCCACACUGGAACUGAGACACGGUCCAGACUCCUACGGGAGGCAGCAGUAGGGAAUCUUCCGCAAUGGGCGAAAGCUUGACGGAGCAACGCCGCGUGAGUGAUGAAGGUCUUCGGAUCGUAAAACUCUGUUAUUAGGGAAGAACAAAUGUGUAAGUAACUAUGCACGUCUUGACGGUACCUAAUCAGAAAGCCACGGCUAACUACGUG